Molecule: ribosomal RNA, 500 nt
Filed under: uncultured bacterium
Lineage: Bacteria
Description: partial 16S ribosomal RNA
Rfam family: Bacterial small subunit ribosomal RNA
Source: RNAcentral
AUUGAACGCUGGCGGCAUGCCUUACACAUGCAAGUCGAACGGCAGCGCGGGAGCAAUCCUGGCGGCGAGUGGCGAACGGGUGAGUAAUAUAUCGGAACGUGCCCUAGAGUGGGGGAUAACUAGUCGAAAGAUUAGCUAAUACCGCAUACGAUCUACGGAUGAAAGUGGGGGAUCGCAAGACCUCAUGCUCGUGGAGCGGCCGAUAUCUGAUUAGCUAGUUGGUAGGGUAAAAGCCUACCAAGGCCACGAUCAGUAGCUGGUCUGAGAGGACGACCAGCCACACUAGGACUGAGACACGGCCCAGACUCCUACGGGAGGCAGCAGUGGGGAAUUUUGGACAAUGGGGGAAACCCUGAUCCAGCAAUGCCGCGUGUGUGAAGAAGGCCUUCGGGCUGUAAAGCACUUUUGUCCGGAACGAAACGGGCCGAGCUAAUAUCUUGGCCUAAUGACGGUACCGGAAGAAUAAGCACCGGCUAACUACGUGCCAGCCGCCGCAGUAA